GGAAGCCCUCCAUUGCCUUGGUCAUGUAAGUGAUCCUCGACAAGAAAUCGAAAUCAACCCAAUAACAUACCUAUAAGAAAACUAAAACCAAAUCAAAACCGAUGUUCCACAUUGGAUUUGGGCUCACUCAUUCUCACACCGAAACCGGUCCAAACGGACCGAUUGACGCCCCUACUACCAGAAAGCCAGAACCCUUCCGUCACUGUUCUUCACCAUAGUUGAUUGAGCUUUAAAGCUUCAUGGACAUGGUGAACUGAAGUUGUAGUUAGCGCUUUGCAGGUUAUUUACGACAAGAUGACCUGAGGAAGCCGGGUUUUGGGUUUGUGACUGUCUACCAUGGAGGAAGUGGAAGCAGCUCCUCAGCAGUUUCAAUGGCUAUGUCUGGGCAAGGUUGCAGUGGACGAUUUGGACCUAUGUUCUCUGUUUGUUUGAAGAAGACCGGUGACUAGUGCUACCUUUCAUAUGUAGUUGAGAGUAGGAACCAUGAACAGAGUAUGCGAGGUAACGGUAGGAAUAACCAGACCAACGGCCAUCCAGUCCAAGAUAAAAUCCCUGUGCAACCGUGGAAGACUAAAAGAAGCUCUGAACAUUCUUGACUCAAAACCCAUCCUACAAGACUUGUCUCUGUACUCACCAAUUUUACAGCUUUGUAUUAAUUUAAGAGCGGAGAAAGAAGGUCGAUUUGUCCAUGACCAUGUUUUGCGAAAUGGGCUCAAUUUGGAUUUGCAUUUCAACACCAAGCUGGUGAUCUUUUACUCAAAAAUUGGAGAUAUUAAAGCUGCUUAUAUUGUGUUUGAUAGAAUGUCUAGCCGAAGUGUUGUGUCUUGGACUGCCAUGAUAUCUGGGUUUGCUCAAAAAGGAUAUUCAAAGGAUGCUCUGGAGGUUUUUAAGGAAAUGCAUCGCUCCGGUGUUAAGGCUAAUCAAUUCACGUAUGGGAGUGUUUUGAAGGCAUGUACAAAUAUGUUGUCUUUAGAAGUGGGGAAACAGAUACAAGGGUGUAUUGUAAAGGGUAUAUUUCUUGAGGAUUUGUUUGUGCAGAGUGCUCUUGUUUGUUUGCAUUCAAAGUGUGGAAGGUUGGAGGAUGCUCAGUAUUUGUUUGAGAGGAUGUUGGAGAGGGAUACGGUAUCAUGGAAUGCAUUGAUUGGUGGGUACGCUGUUCAGGGACUUGCAGAUGUUUCCUUUGGAAUGUUCCAGUCAAUGCUAAGAGAUGGUAUGAUGCCUGAUCAGUUCACUUUUGGAAGUGUUUUGAGAGCCUGUGGUGGAGGUAAAGCUCUUAACAAGGUUAAACAGAUCCAUGGUCUUAUUAUCCAAUUGGGUUUUGGAUCUUAUGAAGUAGUAACUGGAUCAUUGAUUGAUGCUUAUGCAAAAUCUGGCCGUUUGAGAAGUGCAAAGCUUUUGUAUGAUUCUAUGCCAGAAAAAGAUCUGAUCUCGUGCACGGCAUUGAUCACUAGAUAUGCACAUGUAGGUGGGUAUAGAAAGGAGGCGUUUGGUCUCUUUGGUGAAAUAAUACAGAUGCAAAUGGGAAUGGAUAGUAUAAUACUAUGCUCUAUGCUUAAUAUAUGUGCUAAUGUAGCAUUAUUGAGCUUGGGAAGACAAAUUCAUGCGAUUUCAUUAAAAAAACAGCCCAAUUGCGACGUGGCCAUGGGUAAUGCUUUUAUAGAUAUGUAUGCUAAAUCUGGAGAAAUUGAUGAUGCUAACCGUGCUUUUGAUGAUAUAAAAGAGAAGAAUGUAAUUUCUUGGACUUCAUUAAUUGCCGGAUAUGGGAAGCACGGAUAUGGCGACAAGGCUAUUAAAAUUUUUGAAAAGAUGGAAGAUAACAAUUUAAAGCCAAAUGAUGUUACAUUCUUGACUCUUCUUUUCGCUUGUAGCCAUACUGGAAUGACCACUAAAGGAUGGGAAUGCUUUACUUCUAUGGUUAACACGUACAAAAUUAGUCCUAGAGUUGAGCAUUAUGCGUGUAUGGUCGAUCUUCUUGCACGAGGGGGCCAGUUGGAAGAAGCCUAUGAAUUAGUAUCGAAGAUGAGUAUCAAACCUAAUACCUCAAUUUGGGGUUCUAUUCUUGGAGCAUGCAGAAUCUAUGGAAAUACGUCUCUUGGUGAAGUAGCAGCCAGGAAUCUUUUUGAUUUAGAUCCCAGGAAUGCAGUUAACUAUGUUGCUCUAGCGGGCAUAUAUGCUGCAGCUGGUUUGUGGGAAAAUGCUUCGGAGAUGAGGAAACUGAUGAAAGAUAGACGUAUAGAAAAAGAUCCAGCCUGGAGUUCUGUUCAAUGCAUGAAGGAGAAAUUUCAACUUCUUGCGGUGAGUUAAGGAACUUUAAUGUAUGAAUUAUAAGUUGAUGGCUGGUUCCUUUUGCCCUGUUUACGACCAUCAAGAAUGGACAGUUCUGGUAUUGUUAUUGGUAUCUACAUUCCUAUCAUGAGGUCGCUGAUAUGAUAUGGAUCUUACCGUGGAGCUAGAAGAGGAAGGCUUGUUUCAUUUGCCCUUGCUGGAGGACCAUCAACACGAGUCAUUAGGAGUCUUCAGCACUUGAUUGACAUUGUAAUGUUCCAUUGAGCUCUCUUGUAUCAACCUGUUGGAGUUGCCAGUUGUUAGAUCAACCCUCUCCAUCUAACUGCCAGUACAUUGCCUGAAUUUGGUAGGUUGAGGUUGAAUGCUUUCAGACCUAAUCUGCAUGGGCCUACACCUUUGGAAGAAUCUGCAUUGUCGCUACUUUCAUCCAGGUUUGUAAUACGUCUGGCCAUUUGCAGAGGUAAUCGAGAUUUUCCAGAGUAGUGCAAAGAGGAGUGGAUUUUAGGCUUCAGAUAGAAUUCUACUGCGAUGCCAGUGAAUGGCCUAUUGUUUUAUAUUUCCAUUUUGUGGUCAGGCAUUGGCUUAAUUUACAUUGACAAUGAUUUGGAGAUCGGUGAGCUGAUCGUGGGAUUCAACAAAGAGCUAGUGUUUAAUCCUGUUGUGGAGUGCAACGACACUGAAACUAGGAGCAGUAAGGCAUUAAAACCACCAUAACUGAAUUACCUUCCAUGUGUUGUGAAAUAUUUCUUUUCUGGGAGUGCUUUGAUGGUUCUAAUUUGAAGGCCAGGAUUUUUUUUUUUUUUUUGCCCUUGUUUGUGCCAAGUGGGGAAAUUAAAGAAAAUCUGGGUAUUUUGUCUUCUAAAAGGAAUUUAUUUAUUUUUGGUAAUUCUAAUAGGAAAUGUCAGUGUCAUUUGCAGUCUGAAGGCCACUCUCAUCAUUCACAUUUAUUAUCUGUAGUCAAAUUUCAUCUGUAAAUCAUCAUGGAAGAUCUUAUCUUAUAUCUUCAACUAUAAUCAUAAAUAGAUGCAUCUGUCCAAAUGGGCAUUUGAUAUCUGUUUGAAUACUUUUUAUUUGGACUUAAAUCCUUUUUUGUGCUGUUACGAGAGUUGUCCCUUUGGAGAACACUUGUUUUACUUGGAGAGCACUCCAAAUAGCAAAUUGCACCAUUAGGAUUAAUGGCUCUAGACCUGCCAAUUCAGGCUUGUCAAUCCAGGACCGGGCUCAGCUUUUUCCCAUUGGGAUUUUGAGAGUUCUAGCUCAGACUCACCUUACUUAAGUCCUCAGCUCUUAACUCAAAUCCCACACAUCAAAAUCCUUAGGAAACAAACUUUUACUAUCAUGUAGUAUUAAAAAAAGUUUAGUUCCUCAUAAACUCAAAGAAGUUCAAUCUUUGUUUCCUUUCAAGCAUGAAUUUCUACAUCACUUUCCAAGUGGCAGAAAUCUGGGUUCUAGUGUAGAGAUACCCUCUGUGCCUGCUGGUGUGAGAAACGAUUCAUUAGUUUUUCUUGUUGUCUUGGAACCUGCAAAUUGUCGAUCUUGAUAUGGCUGUAGGUCAGUGAUACGUACCCAUUACCUAUCCUAACCAAGAGAAAUUAAAGAGGAGAGAAUGUGGAUAGUA
RNA transcript from Macadamia integrifolia, 3904 nucleotides. It is a transcript of the gene named pentatricopeptide repeat-containing protein At3g20730, with no coding region annotated. The record is from RefSeq and is a predicted model, not a curated record. Lineage: Eukaryota; Viridiplantae; Streptophyta; Magnoliopsida; Proteales; Proteaceae. The transcript is spliced from 4 exons.